UGGGGAAUAUUGCACAAUGGGGGAAACCCUGAUGCAGCGACGCCGCGUGAAGGAAGAAGUAUUUCGGUAUGUAAACUUCUAUCAGCAGGGAAGAAGAUGACGGUACCUGACUAAGAAGCCCCGGCUAACUACGUGCCAGCAGCCGCGGUAAUACGUAGGGGGCAAGCGUUAUCCGGAUUUACUGGGUGUAAAGGGAGCGUAGACGGAGCAGCAAGUCUGAUGUGAAAGACCGGGGCUUAACCCCGGGCCUGCAUUGGAAACUGUUGAUCUUGAGUGCCGGAGGGGUAAGCGGAAUUCCUGGUGUAGCGGUGAAAUGCGUAGAUAUCAGGAGGAACACCGGUGGCGAAGGCGGCUUACUGGACGGCAACUGACGUUGAGGCUCGAAAGCGUGGGGAGCAAACA
RNAcentral lists this ribosomal RNA (402 nucleotides) under uncultured bacterium. Its description in RNAcentral is "bacterial SSU rRNA". It matches the Rfam family "Bacterial small subunit ribosomal RNA", at positions 355 to 774 of the family's 1533-position model. The record is from RNAcentral.